CGGGUGAGACGGGUGAUCGCCGGCGGGUUCCGUGCAAACGGCGCCUGCGGGAGGAAAGUCCGGACACCAAUCGUCGCCGGCUCGCAAGGGCCCACGACGAAGGGCAACGCGCCUGGUAACGCCAGGGGGUUGCGCGGCAGGGCGCCCGCAAGGGCAUCCCGGCAGCGCGGCUACGGAAAGUGCCACAGAAAAUAAACCGCCGGUGUGACGGUUACCUCGGCGGCAGGCCCGCGGCAAAACCAAGGGCCCGCCGGAUUGGGUUCCGCGCAUUUGGUAAGGGUGAAAAGGUGGGGUAAGAGCCCACCGCCCGGGUGGCAACAUCCGGGGCACGGAAAACCCCGCGUGGUGCAAGGCCAAAUAGGAGGGGAGGGCUGGCCCAGCCCGUAUGCGCAACGCUCGCAAGAGCGCCGCGCUCUGACCCUCGGGUAGGCUGCUGGAGUCCCAGUUUGCCCAAUCGUUCCGUCUAACCACCUCGGUGAAUUUCGCGCGAAGCACCGGGCCCGCUUCGCUCAGUCC
This 516-nucleotide RNase P RNA is filed under the name Terriglobia bacterium. RNAcentral describes it as "RNase P RNA component class A". It matches the Rfam family "Bacterial RNase P class A". Rfam says of the family: Ribonuclease P (RNase P) is a ubiquitous endoribonuclease, found in archaea, bacteria and eukarya as well as chloroplasts and mitochondria. Its best characterised activity is the generation of mature 5'-ends of tRNAs by cleaving the 5'-leader elements of precursor-tRNAs. Lineage: Bacteria; Pseudomonadati; Acidobacteriota; Terriglobia. The record is from RNAcentral.